UAAUACAAAUAUGGAAGUAUGUGAAAACCUUAAAUAUGAUUUAAAGUGAAAAUUUAAAUUACAGGAGAGUAUGUAUAGAAAAAAUGGACUUGGUGAUUUUCAGAAUAUCUGGGUGAGUUUUGUUUUCACUUCCAUUUAAAUUUUCCUCUUGAAAAGAGUAGCAGCACUCUAAGAAAUGUAAAGUUUUGUGUCAUUUGUAGGGACAUGGAUGAAUCUGGAGAACAUCAUCCUCAGCAAACUGACACAAGAACAGAAAACGAAACACCGCAUAUUCUCACUCAUAGGCUGGAGUGCAACGGCAUGAUUUCAGCUCACUGCAACUUCCACAUCCCGGGCUCAAGUGAUUCUCCUGUCUCAGGCUUCCGAGUAUCUGGGAUUACAGGCAGGUGCCACCACACCUACUAAUUUUUGUAUUUUUAGUAGAGAUGGAGUUUCACCAUGUUAGCCAGGAUGGUCUCAAUCUCCUGACCUCGUGAUCCGCCCAUCUCGGCCUCCCAAAGUGCUGGGAUUACAGGCAUGAGCCACCACGCCUGGCCUAAAA
Molecule: long non-coding RNA, 541 nt
Filed under: Callithrix jacchus (white-tufted-ear marmoset)
Lineage: Eukaryota; Metazoa; Chordata; Mammalia; Primates; Cebidae
Description: lncRNA (ENSCJAG00000070506.1)
Source: RNAcentral